This 465-nucleotide ribosomal RNA is filed under the name Vreelandella stevensii. Its description in RNAcentral is "partial 16S ribosomal RNA". It matches the Rfam family "Bacterial small subunit ribosomal RNA", at positions 338 to 795 of the family's 1533-position model. The record is from RNAcentral. Lineage: Bacteria; Pseudomonadati; Pseudomonadota; Gammaproteobacteria; Oceanospirillales; Halomonadaceae.
CCUACGGGCGGCAGCAGUGGGGAAUAUUGGACAAUGGGGGCAACCCUGAUCCAGCCAUGCCGCGUGUGUGAAGAAGGCCCUCGGGUUGUAAAGCACUUUCAGUGAGGAAGAACGCCUGGUGGUUAAUACCCAUCAGGAAAGACAUCACUCACAGAAGAAGCACCGGCUAACUCCGUGCCAGCAGCCGCGGUAAUACGGAGGGUGCGAGCGUUAAUCGGAAUUACUGGGCGUAAAGCGCGCGUAGGUGGCUUGAUAAGCCGGUUGUGAAAGCCCCGGGCUCAACCUGGGAACGGCAUCCGGAACUGUCAAGCUAGAGUGCAGGAGAGGAAGGUAGAAUUCCCGGUGUAGCGGUGAAAAGCGUAGAGAUCGGGAGGAAUACCAGUGGCGAAGGCGGCCUUCUGGACUGACACUGACACUGAGGUGCGAAAGCGUGGGUAGCAAACAGGAUUAGAUACCCCUGUAGUC